UAACCGCUGUCGAAGUGGGAGGUCAUGC
RNAcentral lists this non-coding RNA (28 nucleotides) under Rattus norvegicus (Norway rat). The record is from RNAcentral. Lineage: Eukaryota; Metazoa; Chordata; Mammalia; Rodentia; Muridae.